CUCUUAUUAGCUCAAUGGUAGAGCAUAAUACUUCUAAUAUUUAGGUUCAAGUUCAAGUCUUGGAUAAGAGC
This 71-nucleotide transfer RNA is filed under the name Lachnellula occidentalis. It matches the Rfam family "tRNA". From Rfam's summary of the family: Transfer RNA (tRNA) molecules are approximately 80 nucleotides in length. Their secondary structure includes four short double-helical elements and three loops (D, anti-codon, and T loops). Lineage: Eukaryota; Fungi; Ascomycota; Leotiomycetes; Helotiales; Lachnaceae. The record is from Rfam by way of RNAcentral.